GGGAGUAGAUGUCUAUCUGGUGAGGACCCUGGACUUCAAAUCCAGUGGCAGGCGUUGACCCGUCUGUGGUGGGUUCGAUUCCCACCUACUCCCGCCA
Molecule: transfer RNA, 97 nt
Filed under: Bacillota bacterium
Lineage: Bacteria; Bacillati; Bacillota
Description: Firmicutes bacterium (anaerobic digester metagenome) tRNA-Sec
Rfam family: Selenocysteine transfer RNA
Source: RNAcentral